UUCUCUACUAACCCCUCAAUAAUACCAACCCUCCCCGGCGACAACCGGACUUGCCUUUCCUUGCCUCUUUCCAUCCCGGUGACAUCGCGGUCGUCCUUGACCUCAUGGAUGCCAGAUCCCUAUGAUCCCAAUGCUUGAAACUUUUUCGAAGAGUAGCUGCUGCACACAAGGUUUAAAAGCACUUGGGUUCCUACCUCCAAAAGCCGGGAACGGCAGCGACAACUCACUGUUCUUCAACAACAACGCCAACUAUACCCAAGCGGUCAAAGAUUGCGUUUGGUGAGGAUCCCGAACUUGAAAAGGCUGAGAAGAAACACAUUGCCAGUGAAGGUCUCUAAAGGGGCAGAACUUCAUCAGCAUUACGAUGACUCCAAAAUUUUCAAAAGCUGUAAGUGCAUGGAGGUCUUCUUUGUUUAUGUCGAUUUUUGGUGGCGAAGUGGAUAGCAUGCAGAAGAGGACUCCUACUUCAGAUUGUAUUGGUUGGAGCAUUGAAGAAGUUAUGACUCUCCAUAAUGUCCCAUUUUCAGAACAUUUUCGUAUCCACUUGAGAUACCAAAUUUGGACCAGUGGCAUUGCGAAGUAUCUGUUGGUGUCUUACGGACGAAGAAGAACAAAUUCCAUAAAAGGAUCACCAAGAAUAUAUGUGAUAAAUUAUGUCAUAGGUCUCAAGAAAUUUUUGAAGUUGCUGAGGAUGAAUUACUUUCUGCAAAAGCACAGGAGCAUGUGACCUAGAACCAGAGGAUGUGGGACAUUCCAUUGUGAUUAGUGGAUGUAUAUGACAAAUAAUUGCAUAUGACUGUAGUUGCCAAGAGGUUGAUAUGUAAGUAUAAAAUGCAUGUGGUCUAGACAUGUGAA
Molecule: long non-coding RNA, 855 nt
Organism: Dioscorea cayenensis subsp. rotundata (Guinea yam)
Lineage: Eukaryota; Viridiplantae; Streptophyta; Magnoliopsida; Dioscoreales; Dioscoreaceae
Exons: 4
Source: RefSeq, a predicted model, not a curated record